UUUUAUAUUGACUACAUGAUGUUAGAUGGACUAGGUUAGUUAGUUAGUAAGUUAGGAAAGUUAGAAAAGCAGCCUCAGUUUAAAAUGUUUCCACCAUCAUUAUUUGCAAUUCAUAAGACGUCCAACUCGUCUACACAGUUUAUGAUAAACAUUCACUUUCAAGCCAGUAAAAUGUAUCAUAGAGUCAAAGCUCUGACAUCAAAUGAUAACAUCUGCAGAGACUGAAGUAUAAAAAGUGUAUUACAGUGUUCAUUCAUUACAGUUUGGUUGCUUGGAGGCAUUUUUGUUGACAAUCACCUGCAAAGCUUACAGUAGCAUUACCAUUUUGCUUCUUUGUACGUCAUCUUCCAUGCAUCAGGCAAAGCGAUAAGCAUAAGAACAAACCUGACCAGUAGGUUUCUGUUUUUGUGGCUCACAGUUACUAUCCAAGAUCAUUUGCAUUGCAGUUCCCCUUGAUUGUAAAUUUUGAAUGCAAAAUCGAAUGAUUUUAAAUUAAUCAAAUUUUGAUAUUUAAAUAGAAUAUUAAAUAAUCUUUUUUUCACCACUAAUUCCAAUCAACCAUCCAUAUAAGAAGUGAAUGUGUAUCAUUUCAUAUAAAAGGCUUUGGAAUAAUAGUGAAACAGCAGAAGCAGAGACUGACCUAGUCUUCAUUUCUUUUUCUUUUUUUUCCCUUUUUUUUUUUAUACAAAAAAGUUGUAUAGUACAGCUCACAAAAGUUAUAACUCUCUGUGCUUUCUUAAGGAAUACAUUGCUUCACUUCAAACUGGUAAAAUCGAAAUGUUUUUGUCCUUGAUAAUAAAUUGUGGUUGAUGCAUCACAUAUUGCUUUGAUCUUUUCAUUAUUGCUUCAUGAAUGUGCCCUUCAUGCUAUCAUACAGUCAUAGACAGAUGGCAUAAGACACAAACAAACACACACACACACACACACACACACACACAUACACAUACAGUCUCGUGAAAUGCAGCAGCAUUCAAUCUGAGCCACAUUGUUUAAUGAGUGAUUAUUUCUAUAUGUGAAUUUUGUCUUUUGCCUUUCUCCUUAAUAGAAUAUUCCAGCAUAAAUACAGCUAAAGCUCAUUUCAAACAUCUGUGGCAUGUUGUCAGACACACCAAAUAAUAAAUUUGUCCCUCUGUUAAUGCUUGUGCGCUACCGCUCUAACACCUGUAGGUGGCGUUUUCUCUAGGUAAAAGUCUCUUUCUGGACUCCUUGUAGAUACUGUGGAAAAGUUAACGUUUACUGGCUUCACAUGGUCAUGACAGGAUCUAAGAAAUUGGAUUUAACUGUACACAUCAAGCAGGCAGGUUCUGAGCACUUGAAGUCUCCAUGGUGAUUGGCACACCAUCAGUGCUUUGAAGCGUUUUUAGGUGUUUCCUGGAGAGAGUCAGGGUCUCCAUGGUGAUCUAGAGCUCAGCAUCACGCUUUCCAAAAAUGAAACGGACAGAGAAAGGGAAGAUGGAUGGAACGUGAAGUACUGGAGGGUGCUGUGGGUGGAGGACGCGUUCAAUCACAUGACAUUGCUGCUGAUACGGGACGAGGACAGGUGGAGGUUCCGGAGGUUUCCAGGUGUGCAGCUGCUGAUAUUUUAGUUAAUGUCAUAAAACUAGAGAGCUAAGCCAGUAGUAGUACUGACAGUGUCAUGUAAACAUCACUGAAGACGCAAAGAGUGGAGGAACAGACAAACUGAAUCAGUUGA
Onychostoma macrolepis is the source of this 1693-nucleotide long non-coding RNA. RefSeq lists it as uncharacterized. The transcript has 4 exons. Lineage: Eukaryota; Metazoa; Chordata; Actinopteri; Cypriniformes; Cyprinidae. The record is from RefSeq and is a predicted model, not a curated record.